RNAcentral lists this ribosomal RNA (301 nucleotides) under uncultured bacterium. RNAcentral's name for it is "partial 16S ribosomal RNA". It matches the Rfam family "Bacterial small subunit ribosomal RNA", at positions 509 to 807 of the family's 1533-position model. The record is from RNAcentral.
CAGUCGCCACGGGAAUACGAGGGGGGCAAGCGUUGUUUGGAAUUAUUGGGCGUAAAGGGUGCGUAGGCGGCCCCGCAAGUCUCAUGUGAAAUCUUCAGGCUCAACUUGAAGUCUGCAUGGGAAACUGCGGGGCUGGAGUAUGGGAGAGGUGAGUGGAAUUCCGAGUGUAGAGGUGAAAUUCGUAGAUAUUCGGAAGAACACCAGUGGCGAAGGCGGCUCACUGGACGCGUAUUGACGCUGAGGUGCGAAAGCGUGGGGAGCAAACAGGAUUAGAUACCCCCGUAGUCCCUGUCUCUUAUAC